This is a non-coding RNA of Lolium perenne, 444 nucleotides long. The record is from RefSeq and is a predicted model, not a curated record. NCBI's taxonomy places the organism in Eukaryota, Viridiplantae, Streptophyta, Magnoliopsida, Poales, Poaceae.
AACGGGUAAGGGAUCGCCACUCCCCCGCAUUCCCGAGUGCAGUUGCCCAGCGGCACCAACGCUCCAACGCUGCCGGCGAGGUCGAACGCCGGCUGGAGCGCUAUGACGAACACGACUGCAGCAGCUGCUGCUAAGAUACAUGCACAUAUUCGUUUCAGAAAGAGGCUUCCCAUCAAUCAAUACGGUAAGGUCAGAGUUUGGACUGGUUCGUCCUGGUAAAUUUCUUUGCAUAUUCGUGUUUCCUACCAAGAAAAAUAGACACUGGGUCAGGGUGACUUAUUCCAUUCAGCAGUGCUACUCGUGACUUGUUUAAUGGGUCACUUGCAUCAAGUGUAACCGGCAACGAGUAUGUCUAUUUUAAGUGGGACCGAACGUAGUUAGCUUUUUCUAACAGUGUGGAGGAUGUGUAUGCUGUGGUUAGUUCGUUAAUAGGAUCUCUAAGGG